ACAGAUAUGUAUAUAUUAGAUCUGGUACCACGCCGGUACGAAUAUAUAUAUGUUGGAUCGGGUACCAUACCGGUAUAGAUAUGCAUAUGUUGGAUCAGGUACCACGCCGGUACGGAUAUAUUAGACCGGGUACCACACCGAUAUGGAUGUGUAUAUGUUGGAUCGAGUACUACGUCGGUACGGAUAUGUAUAUGUUGGAUCGGGUACCACGCCGAUAUGGAUGUGUAUAUGUUGGAUCGGGUACCACGCCAGUACGGAUGUGUAUAUGUUGGAUUGGAUACCAUGACGGUACGGAUAUGUAUAUGUUGGAUCGGGUACAACGCCAGAACGGAUAUGUAUAUGUUGGAUCGGGUACCACGCUAGUAUGAAUAUAUAUAUGAUGGAUC
Molecule: long non-coding RNA, 386 nt
Filed under: Capsicum annuum
Lineage: Eukaryota; Viridiplantae; Streptophyta; Magnoliopsida; Solanales; Solanaceae
Description: long non-coding RNA (CANN_LNC013630)
Source: RNAcentral